UUGACCUCGGAUCAGGUAGGAAUACCCGCUGAACUUAAGCAUAUCAAUAAGCGGAGGAAAAGAAACCAACAGGGAUUGCCCUAGUAACGGCGAGUGAAGCGGCAACAGCUCAAAUUUGAAAUCUGGCUACUUUGUAGUCCGAGUUGUAAUUUGUAGAGGAUGCUUUUGGUGAGGUGCUUUCUGAGUUCCCUGGAACGGGACGCCAGAGAGGGUGAGAGCCCCGUACAGUUAGCAACUGAUCCUUUGUAUAGCUCCUUCGACGAGUCGAGUAGUUUGGGAAUGCUGCUCUAAAUGGGAGGUAUAUCUCUUCUAAAGCUAAAUAUAGGCUAGAGACCGAUAGCGCACAAGUAGAGUGAUCGAAAGAUGAAAAGCACUUUGAAAAGAGAGUUAAACAGCACGUGAAAUUGUUGAAAGGGAAGCGCCUAUGACCAGACUUGUUUCUAUCAGUUUUGGUAGUUUUCGGACUGCCUGUACUCUGUUAGUACAGGCCAACAUCAGUUUGUUGUCGGGGAGAAAGGCUUAGGGAAUGUGGCUCCCUCGGGAGUGUUAUAGACCUUUGCAUAAUACCCUUCGGCAGACUGAGGACCGCGCUUCGGCAAGGAUGUUGGCGUAAUGGUCAUCAGCGACCCGUCUUGAAACACGGACC
This 646-nucleotide ribosomal RNA is filed under the name Ambrosiella hartigii. RNAcentral describes it as "partial 28S ribosomal RNA". It matches the Rfam family "Eukaryotic large subunit ribosomal RNA", at positions 1 to 667 of the family's 3401-position model. The record is from RNAcentral. Lineage: Eukaryota; Fungi; Ascomycota; Sordariomycetes; Microascales; Ceratocystidaceae.